AGCAGCCGCGGUAAUUCCAGCUCCAAUAGCGUAUAUUAAAGUUGCUGCAGUUAAAAAGCUCGUAGUUGAAUUUCGGGAUCAAUAUGUUGGUCGUGCCUUGGUACGUACUAGCUCAUUGGUUUCUCCCUUCUGACGAACCAUGAUGUCAUUAAUUUGAUGUCAAGGGGAAUCAGGACUGUUACUUUGAAAAAAUUAGAGUGUUUAAAGCAGGCUCGCGCUUGAAUACAUUAGCAUGGAAUAAUGAAAUAGGACAUUUGAUUCUAUUUUGUUGGUUUCUAGGAUCGAUGUAAUGAUUAAUAGGAUAGUUGGGGGCAUUAGUAUUCAAUUGUCAGAGGUGAAAUUCUUGGAUUUAUUGAAGACUAACUACUGCGAAAGCAUUUGCCAAGGAUGUUUUCAUUA
Molecule: ribosomal RNA, 399 nt
Filed under: uncultured Glomus
Lineage: Eukaryota; Fungi; Glomeromycota; Glomeromycetes; Glomerales; Glomeraceae
Description: SSU rRNA
Rfam family: Eukaryotic small subunit ribosomal RNA
Source: RNAcentral